CGCAUUCAGAAACGAAUGAGGCAGAAUGAAUCGCUUUACAGCGAUCUGUAUACUGGGACUUGCUGGUGCUAGUGUGGGCAAUACGCCGGAUUAUACUUUUGAAGAAAUAUUUUCUGAAAUGAAACCACAUGAAAAUAUAUGGGUGCAGCAGCGAAGUUAUCAAGGGGAGGGACUGAAAUGCAUUUUUAAUGAAAAAUUACUCUUGACAGGCAAAGACUACGUUUUUAACAAAUGCCACAAAUCAGGAGACAAAAUUGUCAAGACCGUAUCACACGGGAAAAUAUACGAAGUACAAAGAAAGCGUAACUGGAAAUCAGCUAUGAAUGUGAGCACAAACACAGAUUCCAUAAUCACAUACAUACUGCAGUUCUGGGACAAGAAAGAACUAUGCGGAGUUGUAACGUUCAGAGGCGUGAAUGGCAAUAAAGAAUGUGAACUACAUUCAAGGGCACGAAUUCGCCAACCUUAUAAAAAGUGCUUGGAUCGCUAUAGAAAUCACUGCACCGGUACAGAAUAUCUAAUUGACAACGUGAACUGCAAGUAAAAUCUAAAUAAUGAGUCCUUAGGAUGCUUAGGAUGCAAUGAAUAAAGGGCGUAUU
Dermacentor andersoni is the source of this 599-nucleotide non-coding RNA. The record is from RefSeq and is a predicted model, not a curated record. NCBI's taxonomy places the organism in Eukaryota, Metazoa, Arthropoda, Arachnida, Ixodida, Ixodidae.